GGGGUUGACUGGAUUUGACGGCAAGACGAGAUGGUACGUAAGCACGCGGAGCUGGGCUAUGGGAGGCUCCUUAAUCUCUUCUGUAGGAAAAUUAAUUGGCAACACUGAGUAUGCUCUCGCUGCUUAAUCGAAGCACAGUAGAUUUUGAGCUUAAUUCCACUACAAGGUAGAGGAACGAGACGUCGCUCCAAGGAUCUGGUUCCGAAUCCGAAGAACAAGCGGCGCAGAUUAAAUCGGAAAUAGUCGCAGUAGGCCUCGAUGCUGUGAUGAGAUUUUAGAGGAUAAGGUUGCAAUUGGUGGCUUGGGUCUUGUUGCAGCACGAAAAUGAAGACCAAGAUAAGCGUGUAGAAAGCGUAUGGUUUCCUUGUGCGGACGAGGGUUCGACUCCCUCCAGCUCCAC
RNAcentral lists this transfer-messenger RNA (400 nucleotides) under uncultured Prevotella sp. It matches the Rfam family "transfer-messenger RNA". From Rfam's summary of the family: Bacterial tmRNA, also known as 10Sa RNA or SsrA, is named for its dual tRNA and mRNA-like properties. Its role is to liberate the mRNA from a stalled ribosome. To accomplish this part of the tmRNA is used as a reading frame that ends in a translation stop signal. The record is from RNAcentral. Lineage: Bacteria; Pseudomonadati; Bacteroidota; Bacteroidia; Bacteroidales; Prevotellaceae.